GAUGAAAACGCAGUGAAAUGCGAUAAGUAAUGUGAAUUGCAGAAUUCAGUGAAUCAUCGAAUCUUUGAACGCACAUUGCGCCCGCCAGUAUUCUGGCGGGCAUGCCUGUUCGAGCGUCAUUUCAACCAUCAAGCCCCCGGCUUGUGUUGGGGACCUGCGGCUGCCGCAGGCCCUGAAAACCAGUGGCGGGCUCGCUAGUCACUCCGAGCGUAGUAAUACAUCUCGCUCAGGGCGUGCUGCGGGUUCCGGCCGUUAAAAAGCCUUAUUUACCCAAGGUUGACCUCGGAUCAGGUAGGAAGACCCGCUGAACUUAAGCAUAUCAAUAAGCGGAGGA
Molecule: unclassified non-coding RNA, 334 nt
Filed under: soil metagenome
Description: partial contains 5.8S ribosomal RNA, internal transcribed spacer 2, and large subunit ribosomal RNA
Rfam family: 5.8S ribosomal RNA (bases 1-119)
Source: RNAcentral